Molecule: long non-coding RNA, 393 nt
Filed under: Mytilus galloprovincialis (Mediterranean mussel)
Lineage: Eukaryota; Metazoa; Mollusca; Bivalvia; Mytilida; Mytilidae
Source: RNAcentral
GUUCGUGAAGUGAAUACGCAGACAGGACUGCCCCCUUGCAAUGCCCAGUACUUGAUUUCUCAAAAGUUGGUGAAACGGAGAAAUGAAUACGCAGACAGGACUGCCCCCUUCCGAAGACCAGUACUGUAUUUGUCAGUCUACUUAUCGUUUUUUGAUUGUUCUAAUGAAGUUAUAUGCUAUACUCAGACUCUGUUAAAAAAAAUAGUUUACUAGAAUUGUUCCUUCUUUACCUUCAGUGUCGCUUUUCCUUUUUCUGCAAGAGCCUGUUUUUAACUCCAGAUCAAUGAUGAUUAUCGUUACUAUAGGUUAAUGUAAUCGAGAAACAUCACCCGUUGAGAUGCUUAGUUAUAUCCAGGAAGAAUAGUUUAAAACUAAUGAUGACAAGUUAUAGAA